Molecule: ribosomal RNA, 865 nt
Filed under: Dictyocheirospora garethjonesii
Lineage: Eukaryota; Fungi; Ascomycota; Dothideomycetes; Pleosporales; Dictyosporiaceae
Description: partial large subunit ribosomal RNA
Rfam family: Eukaryotic large subunit ribosomal RNA
Source: RNAcentral
GCUAGCAUAUCAAUAAGCGGAGGAAAAGAAACCAACAGGGAUUGCCCUAGUAACGGCGAGUGAAGCGGCAACAGCUCAAAUUUGAAAUCUGGCUUCCUUUGGGAGUCCGAGUUGUAAUUUGCAGAGGGCGCUUUGGCGUCGGCAGCGGUCUAAGUUCCUUGGAACAGGACGUCACAGAGGGUGAGAAUCCCGUACGUGGUCGCCUGCCUUCGCCGUGUAAAGCCCCUUCGACGAGUCGAGUUGUUUGGGAAUGCAGCUCUAAAUGGGAGGUAAAUUUCUUCUAAAGCUAAAUACUGGCCAGAGACCGAUAGCGCACAAGUAGAGUGAUCGAAAGAUGAAAAGCACUUUGGAAAGAGAGUCAAACAGCACGUGAAAUUGUUGAAAGGGAAGCGCUUGCCGCCAGACUUGCCCGUGGUGGUUCUCCUCCUCGGGCAGGCCAGCAUCAGUUUGGGCGAUCGGAUAAUGGCCUCUGUCAUGUAUCUUCCUUCGGGAUGACCUUAUAGGGGAGUCGUAGUACGGUCAGCCCGGACUGAGGUCCGCGCAUUUGCUAGGAUGCUGGCGUAAUGGCUGCAAGCGGCCCGUCUUGAAACACGGACCAAGGAGUCUAACAUCUAUGCGAGUGUUUGGGUGUCAAGCCCGAGCGCGCAAUGAAAGUGAACGGAGGUGGGAACCCUCUCUGGGGGUGCACCAUCGACCGAUCCUGAAGUCUUCGGAUGGAUUUGAGUAAGAGCAUGGCUGUUGGGACCCGAAAGAUGGUGAACUAUGCUUGAAUAGGGUGAAGCCAGAGGAAACUCUGGUGGAGGCUCGCAGCGGUUCUGACGUGCAAAUCGAUCGUCAAAUUUGGGCAUAGGGGCGAAAGACUAAU